AGGGCCAUAUCAAAUUGAAACGCUGGUUUUCAUACGCUCACCGAAGUUAAGCAACAUCGAGCCUGGUCAGUACCAAGAUCUGUGACCACUUGGUAAUAUCAGGUGCUGGAAG
Non-coding RNA from Acanthosepion pharaonis, 112 nucleotides. Lineage: Eukaryota; Metazoa; Mollusca; Cephalopoda; Sepiida; Sepiidae. The record is from the annotation of a GenBank genome assembly.